GUGGCUCUGUUACCUCCAGUGAUGAUCUGCGGCGCAAGGUUCUUCGAUUUGCCGGGUUCUAUUGGUUUCGGAUCUAUGCCCGGUUGUAGUUAAGGUUUCACUAUUUGGGCUGUAGCUUUAAUGGGCUAGGUUUUAGGCUAUGAGAUCAUUUGUGUUGCUGCUUGGUCUGCUUUUUGUGGUGCUUUGGGCUCCAGACUCUAAUAAUUGUUUGUACUGGUUUAGGCCUUUUUACUAACAAACCUGCUUUAUCUUUGGAAAAAAAUAGUUGGAAAAAUCAUUAUGGGUAUUGAGUUUUUAAGAAAUUCAUUAAUUAAUUUUUAUAAUUUUUAAUUUCAAUUAAAAUGUACUAAGUAAAUAUUACUGUUUGGUGUUUCUAUCAUAUUUUCUACUAGUCAAAUGAACUUUUUGUUAGUGAAUUGAGAGAAACAAAAUUUUGAUACCCAAAAUUCCUUCAUUUCAUUAAUUGCUAAAGCAAAAUAAACUCUUCUUGCAAAUUAAGUAAUCUGGAAAUAGAAGAAACUUGGUUCUUCCUCCAUAAAACCAGUAACAGACAUAAGUAAUAUAAAUAACUUAUGCCUUUAUAAAGAUUUCAAUGAAUAAACAAAUUUAUCUUCUAUAAAAAUUAACAUUCUGAAACUUUAACAAUAUAAUGAUUUCAAUGCAAGCUGUACCUAAGAUUUAUCAAGAUGAAAGUUGAAAGCGGGGAAAUUGAAUCAGCUACACUGUUUAAGGAAAUUAUAACAGGGACGUUUUUGGAUUCAAUAUGAGACGCAAAGACUGAAGGCGAAGGAAGCUGUUAGAAACUUUCGAUUUGCAAUUGCCCAGUAUCCUCCUUGCAUUUCUCUGUACCUAUACUGCCUCGGGAUUUUGGAAUGGAUUUGCCAAUUUAUAACUGAGUUUGGAUUCGUUGCUGCAAUGGAGAACGAAGCACGAGCAAUGGAAAAUGAUUAGAGAUUUGAGUGAUAUCGGCGAUGGUCGUGUGAGAUGAGAGAAUGUAAGAGAGAGGGACGAGAGAGUUUUCUGCAAUUGGAGAUGAGGGAAUCGAAGGAAGAAGAGAGAAAGCAACACCAAUUUUUUACAUUUUAUGGUUAUAUAUUUAUGCUGUUUGGUUGUGAUAUUCUACGGUUGAUGAGGGUUUUUAAGACUUUUUACAUAAAACUAAUUGAAUUUUUUAACAAUUUUUAAGAGAAGAACGC
Molecule: long non-coding RNA, 1196 nt
Filed under: Manihot esculenta (cassava)
Lineage: Eukaryota; Viridiplantae; Streptophyta; Magnoliopsida; Malpighiales; Euphorbiaceae
Description: long non-coding RNA (MESC_LNC005663)
Source: RNAcentral